Molecule: non-coding RNA, 361 nt
Organism: Phasianus colchicus (ring-necked pheasant)
Lineage: Eukaryota; Metazoa; Chordata; Aves; Galliformes; Phasianidae
Source: RefSeq, a predicted model, not a curated record
CCCCCCUCCAGGUGCCGCUGCUGCUUCCAGGGCUGCGUUACGCCGUGGGGGCGUGGAUGGAAGUGGAAAAGGGGAGCCCCCCCCCAUAUCUGCAGGUCUCGGUGCUGCGCCGCGGCUGGGGCUCAGCGCUGCAGUCGCUGCUGGUCGCUCUGCGGCCCUGGGCGGAGCUGAGCACGGCGUGAGGCACCGCGUUAAUUAAUUAAUCGGCACCGCGUUAAUUAAUUAAUUAAUCGGCACGGGAAUAUAAUUAGUCGUGUCACCAUUCGCUGUGUCACCAUCACCCGUUAGCUGUAUCCCGAUCACUGUGUCACCGCUGUCACUCAUCUCUGUCACCCCAGAAAUAAAGAGCUACGGGUCCCUA